This 253-nucleotide ribosomal RNA is filed under the name uncultured bacterium. Its description in RNAcentral is "partial 16S ribosomal RNA". It matches the Rfam family "Bacterial small subunit ribosomal RNA", at positions 524 to 776 of the family's 1533-position model. The record is from RNAcentral.
UACGAAGGGGGCUAGCGUUGCUCGGAAUCACUGGGCGUAAAGCGCACGUAGGCGGAUCUUUAAGUCAGGGGUGAAAUCCUGGAGCUCAACUCCAGAACUGCCUUUGAUACUGGGGAUCUCGAGUCCGGAAGAGGUGAGUGGAACUCCGAGUGUAGAGGUGAAAUUCGUAGAUAUUCGGAGGAACACCAGUGGCGAAGGCGACUCGCUGGACAAGUAUUGACGCUGAGGUGCGAAAGCGUGGGGAGCAAACAGG